UGGGGAAUUUUGGACAAUGGGCGCAAGCCUGAUCCAGCCAUGCCGCGUGAGUGAAGAAGGCCUUCGGGUUGUAAAGCUCUUUCGGCGGGGACGAAACGGUCCGUGCUAACACCACGGACUAAUGACGGUACCCGCAGAAGAAGCACCGGCUAACUACGUGCCAGCAGCCGCGGUAAUACGUAGGGUGCAGGCGUUAAUCGGAAUUACUGGGCGUAAAGCGUGCGUAGGCGGUUUGUUAAGACAGGUGUGAAAUCCCCGGGCUUAACCUGGGAACUGCGCUUGUUACUGGCAGACUUGAGUGUGGCAGAGGGGGGUGGAAUUCCAGGUGUAGCAGUGAAAUGCGUAGAUAUCUGGAGGAACACCGAUGGCGAAGGCAGCCCCCUGGGCUAACACUGACGCUGAUGCACGAAAGCGUGGGGAGCAAACAGG
RNAcentral lists this ribosomal RNA (429 nucleotides) under uncultured bacterium. RNAcentral describes it as "bacterial SSU rRNA". It matches the Rfam family "Bacterial small subunit ribosomal RNA", at positions 355 to 776 of the family's 1533-position model. The record is from RNAcentral.